UUUUUGUUUGUAGGAAAAGCAGAAAGGCAAAAGAGAAGCUUGAUAAGUGUGUAAAAGACACUCUGUUGGACCCUUGGUAUUCCAACUCCGAAAGCAAACAUUAGAAAGGAAGAUACUGUGUCAAAGCUGUUGGACUUCAUUGCUGAACCUCACUCUGCAGCUGAAUCUUGGGGCUCUGAUGACCAGGGAUCAAAUUCUAAAAAACGCAAGAGAGGAGGUGAAAGUGCAAGUAAGACGCAUGAUGGCACACCUAGUAGGUCGAGGAAGGUACUGUGCUAAAAUUUUCUUGCAUGGUGUGUUGAAUAUGAGUAUAUAACUAAAAGUUCUGAACAUGACUUAAAGCUAUGGUGUAUCCUUCCUUGGUGGCUAUUU
Zea mays is the source of this 372-nucleotide long non-coding RNA. RefSeq lists it as uncharacterized. The transcript has 3 exons. NCBI's taxonomy places the organism in Eukaryota, Viridiplantae, Streptophyta, Magnoliopsida, Poales, Poaceae. The record is from RefSeq and is a predicted model, not a curated record.